UAAGGAACUUUUUCCAGAAAAUGGUCAGUUGUGUAGCUUGUGGCUAUUCAAAAACACCAAAGAAAAACAAUUCCGGUGUAACAUUUCACAGAUUUCCUAAGGAUGAAAGACUCAUUGUCUCCCUAUGUACAAGCUGUGAUUGUUUAUAUUGCUGGUGUUGUUUCUUUUAAAAUUGGACAGAAACUGAAAUGUGAACAGUGUGUUGCACAGUUAUUUGGAGUUAAGGAGGAUUUCCUAAACUCCUUGAUUGCAACAAAAUCAAAGGGUGGUUUGAGUUACCCAAGUAAUGGAGUCAUUGCAAUAUGCCAGACUGCAGAAAAAUUUUUAAGAAGCCAAUCAUAUUCAAAUAAAAAAAUUAACCGUGAAGAAGUUUCACUUAAAGUAAUGAAACAUUUUAUUGGAAAAAGUGUGUUUGAUGAAAUGAUUUUUCAUGAUUUUUCCCCAUUAGAGAGUCAUGAAACUCUUUCAAUUAAAAGUAUUUCAAAUUGUUAUUUAAACACGAGGUUGAAUUAUAUUUGUAAAAAUACUGUAAAUGAAGAUAGAAUAAGGAAUUUGUAUAAUAGAUUGAUUCUCUUUAAAAACCAAUAAACAUUAAAAGUGACGUUCUAUAUA
Molecule: long non-coding RNA, 612 nt
Organism: Coccinella septempunctata (seven-spotted ladybird)
Lineage: Eukaryota; Metazoa; Arthropoda; Insecta; Coleoptera; Coccinellidae
Exons: 2
Source: RefSeq, a predicted model, not a curated record